This 332-nucleotide ribosomal RNA is filed under the name uncultured bacterium. RNAcentral's name for it is "bacterial SSU rRNA". It matches the Rfam family "Bacterial small subunit ribosomal RNA", at positions 568 to 898 of the family's 1533-position model. The record is from RNAcentral.
CGUGUAGGCGGGAAUGCAAGUUAAAUGUGAAAGCCCAAGGCUUAACCUUGGGACUGCAUCUAAAACUGCGUUUCUUGAGUGCUGGAGAGGAAAGCGGAAUUCCUAGUGUAGCGGUGAAAUGCGUAGAUAUUAGGAGGAACACCAGUGGCGAAGGCGGCUUUCUGGACAGUAACUGACGCUGAGGCGCGAAAGCGCGGGGAGCAAACAGGAUUAGAUACCCUGGUAGUCCGCGCUGUAAACGAUGGAUACUAGGUGUAGGGGGUAUCAAUUCCCUCUGUGCCGCAGUUAACACAAUAAGUAUCCCACCUGGGGAGUACGGCCGCAAGGUUGAA